CGGAGCGGCGCUGACGGGGCUGCAGCAGGGCCUCAGGGGCUGCGAAGGGGACGUGUUCGCUCCGUUCUUCUUCAUGCACCAUCCCGGGUGAAGAAACGCUAAAAGUGAAAACCAACCAUGGCUUUUUCCAAGGUCUGAUUUUGUUUUAUUUUUUUUGGUCAUGCCCUGCCAUCUGUAGAGUUAGUGAGUCAACUAAGAAAAAGCUCUUUAAAGUACACCAGAAAACUUCUGGCCAGGAAAAUAAAUGCACUCCAGCAGGUACACUGAGUACUGAGCCACCACAAGUAUAA
This 290-nucleotide long non-coding RNA is filed under the name Anser brachyrhynchus (Pink-footed goose). RNAcentral's name for it is "lncRNA (ENSABRG00000005522.1)". Lineage: Eukaryota; Metazoa; Chordata; Aves; Anseriformes; Anatidae. The record is from RNAcentral.